This 301-nucleotide ribosomal RNA is filed under the name uncultured bacterium. Its description in RNAcentral is "partial 16S ribosomal RNA". It matches the Rfam family "Bacterial small subunit ribosomal RNA", at positions 509 to 807 of the family's 1533-position model. The record is from RNAcentral.
CAGCCGCCGCGGGAAUACGAAGGGGGCUAGCGUUGCUCGGAAUCACUGGGCGUAAAGGGUGCGUAGGCGGGUCUUUAAGUCAGGGGUGAAAUCCUGGAGCUCAACUCCAGAACUGCCUUUGAUACUGAAGAUCUUGAGUUCGGGAGAGGUGAGUGGAACUGCGAGUGUAGAGGUGAAAUUCGUAGAUAUUCGCAAGAACACCAGUGGCGAAGGCGGCUCACUGGCCCGAUACUGACGCUGAGGCACGAAAGCGUGGGGAGCAAACAGGAUUAGAGACCCCCGUAGUCCCUGUCUCUUAUAC